AACCCCCAACAUAUAGCGCGUACUCCAGAGUAAUCGCGGCUUGCUUGACUAGAAUAUUCCGUGCGCAGUAGUAUAGAUAUAUGGAGAGUCCGUCGAACCCAAACGAUCGACUAAAUAAAGAUACGAAGUCUCUAACAACCCGAUCUCUCCGCCCCAUGAGUGUAAAUUGAAGUAGUACUACUCCUUGUGUGGUCAUAACUAGUAUGAGUAGAUUACAUAGAAUUUUAUUCACAAGUGACCACCUACCCAUUAUCCCAUAUAUAAAAUUGAAGAAAUUAUUAUUUCUCUGAAAACUUGAUAGCAUAUUGUGAUUCUUCUUGUUUAUGCUUUGCCAUCUAUUUCGAGAAUGGCUGUGGGGAGGUAAAUCAUUUAACAUCUUCAAUUUGGGAUGGAGAAAGGAGGUCGUUGUGGACUAUGUACUUCGUAAACAUGUGGAGAAAAAUCAUCAGUCUCCACCUCGAAUAACGUCCUUCAUCGAAGGGCCAAGUCCUCAACGCGGAGCAAACCACAACCCAGCCCAGCACAUGCCCAGCCCGCACAUGCUUUAUUCGGGUUCC
RNAcentral lists this small RNA (557 nucleotides) under Histoplasma capsulatum. RNAcentral's name for it is "hypothetical RNA". Lineage: Eukaryota; Fungi; Ascomycota; Eurotiomycetes; Onygenales; Ajellomycetaceae. The record is from RNAcentral. RNAcentral also lists the same sequence under 1 other name.